This is a long non-coding RNA of Drosophila miranda, 2644 nucleotides long. RefSeq lists it as uncharacterized. The record is from RefSeq and is a predicted model, not a curated record. NCBI's taxonomy places the organism in Eukaryota, Metazoa, Arthropoda, Insecta, Diptera, Drosophilidae. The transcript has 3 exons.
CAAUAUUUUUUUUUAAUAGUAUAUUUUGGGAACAAGUCAUGGUGUGAUAUGUAUUGCCAUAAUCUUUGUAUGUUCCAUGACAUUUCCGAGCAUUUAUUCGGUAAAAUUCUUAAAGAUUGAUUUGUGUGUGCACCAUGGCCGUAAGACGAAGCUUAGAUAUGACCACAUCCACAAAUAAUGAACAGAACAUGCAUUUUGAAUUGGCUUGAUAAGUCGCGAUCUUGCCCAACAUGUCAAAACAAUGUUACAAGAAACAGUUUAUUAGAGGUUCUUUCCGAAAAUGUUGCCGACCACAAUCUGAACCUGGAAACAAAUAGUUUGGAGAGGAUUCUGUUAACUAAUAGUCAAAAGAAGAAAAAGAGACAGUCGCAGCAAUCAAAUGAGAUAGUAGAUCUCGAGGAUAACAGUAACGUAUUGUCUAAUUCUGCUUUUGCGGAUAACCCAAACCAAGAUGUAGGUUUCUUAGAGCAGAGAAUAGUAUCACAGGUAGAUCAUCGAAUAACUUCGCAAAUUAGUCAAAUGCAGUCCAUGAUCUCGGCAGGAAGAACGGAUGCAAUACCUAACUUCCAUACCAAUGCAGAUGAUAAUGGAAAUAACAAUGAACCUGAUUGGGGAAGAAGAACUACUAGAGCUUCGUCACUUAAUCUAGAAAGAGACGUACCCACCUUCAUACCCAAUGAAUAUAGAAAUAGUAACAAUCUACCGGAGAGAAAUGGUAGUUUCAAUCUAAGUCGCGAUGUGGGAAAAGUAGCAAAUUUGAUUAGUAGCUUGAAAGUGCAGUAUAAUGGCUAUACAUGAUUACAGCUUUGACAAAUGAUAGCUUACGAGGAAACUUUGAAGUAUUGUGCGAACACAUUCAUAUUCUCUUUAGUGGCCGAGCAAGUGAAUGGUUCUGGAGAUACAGACGCACUGUAGACAGAGUAAACUGGUCCGAUCUUUGUAAGUCGCUGAAUUCAUAUUUUCUUGAACCGCUAUCUGACGAUGACGUGAGAGAAUUGAUAAGAGAUCGCAAGCAGCAAAUCAGCGAAAGUUUUGAUGAAUUUCAUAACGGAGUUAUGCAUUUAGUAGAUCGCUUACAAUACCCUAUUAGCGAGAGUCAACUAACGUCAAUUCUGAAACGAAAUCUGAGACCGUUUAUGAGAAAGGAGUUGUUCUAUAUAGAAAUCAAUUCGGUUAGCCAGUUGAGAAAAUUAGUCCUUAGACGAGAAGCUUUUAGUGAGGAGUAUAACACCGCUAACCCGAAAGCAAACACACGAAAGCAAAUUAAUGCAUUGGAGUAUGACCAAGAACGUUCAGAUAACCAUCUAGGAGAGCAAGAAAUUUGCGAACUAAAAAGAACUAGAGCCUUAGAAGAGAUUCAUUGCUGGAAUUGUCGCAGGUUUGGCCAUAAACACGCAGAUUGCCAAUCUGAUAAGAAGAUAUUUUGCUUAGGUUGCGGAGCUGAAAAUAUAAUAAGACCAAAUUGUGAAACCUGUCAGGAAAACCGACGGUUGAGCGGCAACAAGAACAGCAGUUACCGCUCAAAUCCUCAGCAUUAAAUAAAGAGCAUUCUUCUUCUUACUGUCCGAAAGUCAAUAUAAUUCCUAAAUAUUUAAAUUCUAAAAAUAUUCAAGGUAAAUUAUAUCCAAUAGUCCCGUAUCAUAUAAGACUUCGAAACUAUGAAGAAAUAAGAGAAAAAAUAUUUUGUAGCGAUUUAGUUAAAAAACCCAGUUGUGUCCUAACUAAGAGAAAUACCGUUCGUUUUCGUAACUUUAUAAGAAAAGUUAAAGAUAGAAUGAGGGGUAUAUCGCUGAGUCUAGAUUCGAUUGUUGAUGUAAAAAAGGCAUAUCAAACCAAUAAGAGAACGUACGAUUUGCGCACAAGAUACGUUACGUUCGAACUCGGCGAACACGUCUAUAGACGAAACAAAAGUAACAAGAUCAAGGCAUUUAAUGCAAAAUUAGCUCCUAAAUUCUUGAAGGCAACUGUAGUUCGAAAGUUUGGUAACCACUGUUAUGAAUUAGAAGAAGAUGGUCAACAGAUAGGAAAGUUCCAUGCCAAAGACCUACAAAAGUGCGUAACUUAAAAGAUGACCGUUUUCUAGCUUAUUUUGAACAAGUAGAACAGCUUAAAAAUAACCUGUGGUGUGACGGCCCAUAUUUGGAUGGACUUAUUUGUGUGCACAGAGCUGUAGCUUAUCUGCAUGCAAGGGAAUAAACGGGAAUAAAGCGAAAGCUUUUGACGAGAGAGCGAGCUUUGGGUUAUCUUGGUGGGUUAUCUAGCCCUUGUGCUUUAGAAUGGGAUGAAGAAACAAAAUCAAAGCUCAAGCGCUGGAUCAUUCGAUCCAUGGAACUAAAUUGUGGAAGGUCAGUUUGGUGGUACGGCGAGAUAAAAGAAAAGAAAAGAAUAAAAGGUUAUACACGUGUCUGAAAAAAAAAGAAAAAUUGAAAUCAAUAAAUCGUCGAAAGUAGGGUGCACAUGCCAAGCUGCCCCAAAAAUUAAGAUCAGUGUUCUCAAGGAUAAACCCGGUUUCAAGCCCCAAACGGGGUCUGAGCUUUGCCAGUCGAUCUCGGUUUCUCCAGUGUAAUUUAAUAUUGACGAAAGUUAUCCAACGGAGGUCAAACUUCUGCCGCACAACGAAAAUUUGCGAUCAACCUUAUUUUUG